AUUGAACGCUGGCGGCAUGCCUUACACAUGCAAGUCGAGCGGCAGCGCGGGGGCAACCCUGGCGGCGAGCGGCGAACGGGUGAGUAAUACAUCGGAACGUGUCCAGUAGCGGGGGAUAACCUGUCGAAAGAUAGGCUAAUACCGCAUACGACCUAAGGGUGAAAGCGGGGGACCGCAAGGCCUCGCACUAUUGGAGCGGCCGAUGUCGGAUUAGCUAGUUGGCGGGGUAAAAGCCCACCAAGGCGACGAUCCGUAGCUGGUCUGAGAGGACGAUCAGCCACACCGGAACUGAGACACGGUCCAGACUCCUACGGGAGGCAGCAGUGGGGAAUUUUGGACAAUGGGGGCAACCCUGAUCCAGCCAUGCCGCGUGAGUGAAGAAGGCCUUCGGGUUGUAAAGCCCUUUCGGCGGGGACGAAACGGUUCGUGACAACACCACGGACUAAUGACAGUACUUGCAGAAGAAGCACCGGCUAACUACGUGCCAGCCGCCGCCGUAA
This 500-nucleotide ribosomal RNA is filed under the name uncultured bacterium. RNAcentral's name for it is "partial 16S ribosomal RNA". It matches the Rfam family "Bacterial small subunit ribosomal RNA", at positions 29 to 523 of the family's 1533-position model. The record is from RNAcentral.